Molecule: long non-coding RNA, 1705 nt
Organism: Hippoglossus stenolepis (Pacific halibut)
Lineage: Eukaryota; Metazoa; Chordata; Actinopteri; Pleuronectiformes; Pleuronectidae
Exons: 3
Source: RefSeq, a predicted model, not a curated record
AAACCAGGACAGUGACAGGGAGCUGAGGUCAGUGGGAAAAGAAGAUGAAGAACCAUAAAUGACACGAAGAGGCUUCAAAUCUUCAAAUGACUCAACCUCUGCCUCAAAUACAAACGACGUGGAGCUUGGCCGUCUUCUUGGACGAUCCAGAUGCUUCGUAAAUGGUUCCAUCCAGAUCCACAGACAUGGUGAAGACCGGAGCGUGAACCGGGCCCGACUGAGACAGCAGGCGAUACUGAAGCCCCGGCCGGAUCUGGUUCAGCCGCAUCAGGGCGUUCAUUGGCUGGUUGGAGUCUAUGGCUUUGCUGUCCAAGACUAAUGCAGAGAAAAAUGAAGGGUUGCAGUAAAAAGCAGAGCAGACUAGGGUUGAUUGAGUAAGGGUUUACUGGGGGUGUAUCAAUUAUCCAGCUGUAGUUGGACAAACUGGGCCCAUUUCAGAGAUGGUGUUUGCAAUAAAUCCCAUUUAGCAGGUUUUUAGGACUGACUAGUUUUCAUGAUGAAUAAAGGUGCCAGUUUAUUUUACUUUCUCCUUCAAUCUUGUUUCUCCCGUUUGUCAAUAUCUAAAAAUGCCUUUCUGCUUCCAUUAGUCGUGGUUCAUCUUCUCCUUGUAUGAAGAAAGAGCUGGAGAUGAUUGGGUGGCCUACUAAAAAGCAACCAAUCGAUAAUAUUGAGCUGCCUCCGAGGAACUGAAGGAGAGUGGAGAGCAGAGAACCAGACGGGGGGGAAAAGACACAGAAUGGAGACAACUGGAGUGCGGUGCUGCUAUGUACUUGAGUCUGAAUACAAAAAAAUAAAGACAAUCCAACACUAAAUGAAACUUGUAUAAGAUGAUUCCUCUUCAUCUUCUUAAUGAGGUCCUUGUCGUCCAUAAAUCCAUCCUCGUAUGGCCUCUUCAGACCCAAGCCUGAGAGCGAGAGAGAGAGAGACGUGUCACUAAUCAAUCACUUUCUACAAGAGGAUGUUUAUAUGAACGCACACAAAGGCUCUUGUGUGUGUGACAGAAAUGCAUGGGGCGGGGCAUAACAUCGCAGAAAACAAACCAUACAGGAGCACAAGCGUAAAGAUGGAUCAAUUCACAGAUGAGACAAACAGAAGAGGCAGAGCAGCAAACCUCGAGGAAGACGUGUAAGCUCCUUUCCUACACGCAGCCUAAUCUUUAAAUGCUUUGGCAACUUUCCAUGUUGGUGUCAGGAGAACCGAAAGGCCUGAGAUGGGUUGUUUUUCUCCAUGAAAGUCACUUUGAAAAUUUGCCAACUCUUGAGUCUCUCGACUGCAAACCGAGGCAAAAACAAUCCUGCGUAGAAGCAUGGUCCACUGAAGACACUGUGACAUAGACUGUUUAUAAAGAUGGACAGUGCGUCUAAUAUUUCUAAUAUUCCUAUUAUUAAUAUAACCCACAUACACGUGCUACCAUCUUUUGAAGUCAUUUGGAGCCACAGUCUGUGCCGUAGUGAUCGGUGGAUGGAGCUGUGCUAUUGAUGUACCACCUGUUUUACAUUUUGCAUUUUACAUUUUGCAUUUUACAUUUACUUUACUUUUUAUAUCUUUUUAUUUUAUAUUUGUUUUUUUCUUAUGUAAAGUACUUAUUGUGUUUUUAUGUUUUAUGUUCAUUGUAUGCACCUAUAUACCAAGGCCAAUUCCAGGUAGGUGUAAACCUACUUGGCAAUAAAUACCUUUGAUUCUGAUAAAAGCACUUCAUCCAUGA